AAUCACAACAAACUUGGCCCAAGUCACUUUACUCAAAUAAGGACUAACCUUACCGACCCCCAGAGCAAGCAUUAGGCAACUGUGGUGAGGAAAAACACCCUCUUAGGAAGAAACCUCAAGCAGACCAGGCUCUAGGGAGUGCCCCUCUGCUUGGGACAUGCUAUCUGAUACAAAUUA
Thalassophryne amazonica is the source of this 177-nucleotide long non-coding RNA. RefSeq lists it as uncharacterized. The transcript has 3 exons. Lineage: Eukaryota; Metazoa; Chordata; Actinopteri; Batrachoidiformes; Batrachoididae. The record is from RefSeq and is a predicted model, not a curated record.